GAUGCCCUUAGAUGUUCUGGGCUGCACGCGCGCUACACUGAUGUGUCCAGUAAGCACCUAACCUCUUCCGAAAGGAACGGGUAACCUUAGCAAAGCACAUCGUGAUGGGGAUAGAUUAUUGCAAUUAUUAGUC
This 133-nucleotide ribosomal RNA is filed under the name uncultured eukaryote. RNAcentral's name for it is "partial 18S ribosomal RNA". It matches the Rfam family "Eukaryotic small subunit ribosomal RNA", at positions 1466 to 1598 of the family's 1831-position model. The record is from RNAcentral.